GUGCCAGCAGCCGCGGUAAUACGGAGGAGGCAAGCGUUAUCCGGAAUUAUUGGGCGUAAAGCGUCCGUAGGUGGUUGAACAAGUCAGCUGUUAAAGAGUGGUGCUUAACACCAUGCAGGCGGUUGAAACUGUUUGACUAGAGUUUGGUAGGGGUUGCGGGAAUUCCCAGUGUAGCGGUGAAAUGCGUAGAUAUUGGGAAGAACACCGGUGGCGAAAGCGCGCGACUGGACCUGAACUGACACUGAGGGACGAAAGCUAGGGGAGCGAAAGGGAUUAGAUACCCCUGUAGUCC
RNAcentral lists this ribosomal RNA (292 nucleotides) under uncultured bacterium. Its description in RNAcentral is "partial 16S ribosomal RNA". It matches the Rfam family "Bacterial small subunit ribosomal RNA", at positions 505 to 796 of the family's 1533-position model. The record is from RNAcentral.